GGGCCGGUAGGGGGCGGGGACCCCGAGGGAGGUGGCACCGCGCGGCGGUGGCUGCCGGUUGUCGUGGUCCAGGUUCCACCGCCCGCCGGCCGG
Molecule: transfer RNA, 93 nt
Filed under: Streptomyces finlayi
Lineage: Bacteria; Bacillati; Actinomycetota; Actinomycetes; Kitasatosporales; Streptomycetaceae
Also listed under: 1 other name
Description: tRNA-Ala
Source: RNAcentral